CCUGCUCCUAGAACCCGCCCCCAAGGAGGCAGGUGGGGCCUCGGGAAGCCCCCACCCCUCGGACUGGGCAAUAGACGUCCGUUCUAAUGGCGCUGUGGCCAGAGACCCGACGGUGGGUCCCUGUUAGCAGCCCUCCCCCCGGGUCACAAAGCUUCUGUGGAAGAUGCUGAAGAGUACACUGUGUGAUUCUGGCCCCGCUCCCUCUCUCCAGCCCCCGUAGGAAAUCGCUUUCUUCUUGCUGGCAGUCUCCCGGGUCUGAAGUGGACUGGCAAGCUCCUUAGUGCAGGUGUUAGCUUAGCCCUCCCCCCGCCCGGGCUCCUACCACCAGCUGUCACCGCCACUGGGGAGCAUCUGCCUCACCUUUCCCUGGAGUGCAGCUGCGUUCACACAGCAGGCUCCCAGGACGGGAAGAGGAGGCGCCCCCACGAAGCUGCUGGCCCCUGGGAAGAGGCUCAUCCGUUUCUCCUUUCCCUCUCCCGGGAACAGUGGGCCUCAGUCCAGUGCCCUCAGAACCCACUUUGAGCUGCGCGACAGUAACGCCCUGGGAGGCAGGAAUCCCCUGGCCUUCCUGCAGCAUAGGGGGGGGGGGGGGGGAGACAGAGUAGUUCCCAGAAGACAAGCUUGCUGCAGCCACGGCUACCUGCUCUCCUACCCCAUUUGCCAGUUUUGCUGCCAUCUUUUAGAUCACUACCAUCUCCUGGCACUUAGAAGCAAAGCCAGGAUUAGGGUAAGAUAGGACUGGAAACAAAAACAACACUGCCCUUCUCAUCGCCAGCCAUGGAGGUUGUCCUUCAGGAACUGGAGUUCAAAGAAUUGGGUCGAAAGCAACCUCUGAGGUCAUGUAAUGCCACCUGUGCCAAGGCAAGAACACUUUCAGCAGCAUCCCCAGCAAGCCUUUUGGCCUCCACUCAAGGACCCAUCUCCAAUGGAAGGAGAUGCCCAUUCUCCUUUGACACAGUUAAUUAGUAGGAAAUUCUGCUUCCAUUGAACCUAAAUCUGCCCUCCUGCAGUUUCUGCCCAUGGCUCCUUGUUAUGCCAUCUGAGGCUAUACCCAUGGAAGCGAAGAAUUCUAUCAAGUCCUUCUCCUGAGCCUUCCAUUCUCCAGUUACACUUGCCCAGUCCCAUAUAGAGUCUUCACCCCUCCGGCCAUCCAUCCCUAUGAUCAACGUUCUCAAUUUCAACAUCUCAACAUGCUCCAUUUCAUUGAUGGUCAAUCCCACCACCCCCUUAAAUGGUGUGUCCACACCUUCCCCUUCCUAAAAGGUGUUUGUUUGUCCUAUCCUACCACCAUGGGGAAUUUGGGGAAAGAUUGAUUAAAAACAGAAAACAACAAAAAUAUCAGUUCUCCAGCU
This 1352-nucleotide long non-coding RNA is filed under the name Monodelphis domestica (gray short-tailed opossum). RNAcentral's name for it is "lncRNA (ENSMODG00000043395.1)". The record is from RNAcentral. Lineage: Eukaryota; Metazoa; Chordata; Mammalia; Didelphimorphia; Didelphidae.